GCGGUGGCUCGCUCUCCUCCUACUCUGCCCACGGCUCCUGGAAGACGGGAGAAGUGAAGACCGCUCCGUGGUGAGCCUGCGGGAGACCUCCGAGGUGACGCUGCGGUGCCCGCACCUCAGCCCUGGGGACGCCCCCCGCCCGCCGCCGUUAACGCCUCGGAACCCGCGGCUGCCUCCAGCAUUCUCAGCAAUAGGACCAGACGUGAAGAUGAGUCCUGGAACCUCCAUGUCUCAAUUCACAGCCCUUGUCUUUGCUCCCAACCAACAUUGCAGCUAUUCUGGGAGCAGCCUGAGUACCCCUAAUGACUGAAGGUUUAUCUUCAGGGAACCCUGUCAUGUUGUCACCUUUACUAGGGAUAUCAAUGUUACCAGGAGGUGUCUUCUUUGGUGUGGGUGCAGCUGGGCCUCUGAACAACAAACAUGUCAAAUAAUAGGAGGUCCUGUACAGCCUCUGCCAAAUGUGAACAUCCUCACUCAUGGGCACUCUGGCACCUGACAAUUGACAACACAUGCUAUGAGCACAAUCACAACUCUUUCUGUUCCUGUGGCUACACAGAGCAACUAGAGGACCUGGGUGCAGAGACUUCCCCUCCAAACUCACCUUUAUUUAUGGAAAAGAUGGCCUGACCAACUUUGAAGCCAACAUACCUGAAAACAAUUCAUACAACCUGGAAGCGUCUAUGAGAAUUUCUGAAACUGGCAGAGGAACAAGGUCUUGGUCCUCCUGCAGACUUCUGAUAUGGAAACAAUCUCCUGCUUCCUCAUUUGAUUGGAUCCCAUGGCUGGAAGCUCCUUCUAGGUCUUGAAACAAUGACCAAGUGAUAUGGACAAGGAAGGUCCUGAGAUUGAUGGGAUCUCUCUUUGUACCCUUGCUUAGUGGAAGCUGAAUAUGAAGGAGGAGGAAAGCUUGCAGAGGGAUUUGUGGGAAUGGAAGCUCGCAAACACCUCUGAGCAGAAGAAGUACCAUGAGAUGGCCAACAAGUGAGUCUGGGAAAUGGACAGGAGUUGGGUGUGGAUGGCUCAGCUGGACUAGAUCUGGUGGUGAUCUGCACCCAUGCAGUAGCUACAGGGGUUUCACGAGCUCACCUCUUGACACGAAUAAUUUUAAGACCAGGCAGUAGCUCCUGCACCCUAAAAUGCUAGGGGGGUCUAUGCGCCAUGUCUCCAGAGCUCUCUCCUCACUGGUUAUGCAUCAAGCCCUGACUGUUUCCAGACAUCCGAAUGAUCUAUGGUGACUCUUGACAACCAGGACCACUGCGGAUUGAAGGAAGUAGGCACAGAAGUGUGUGAGAAUGGUGGAGGCAUGCACGAAGGAAGCAUCCUCUCAGACAUUCUGAGAAUAGUGUCUUGCUUUUGCUCCAUGCAGUCCCCCUAUUUCAAAUAAGCUCAAGGAUGAGUGAGAAAAACCAGCUUUUAGAGAGAAGCAGCCAUACCAGUGAGCUUGGCUUCUGCCUUCUCCUGGGCCCUGGUCUCCUUGGUCAUUGCUGUGCUGUCAGUGUCAGCUUUGUCGUCCUUGGAUCUGUCCAUGACCCCUGGGAUACGCUGCCAUCAAUCCUAUGCCUGACCAGCUUGGCAGUCAGUUCUACUGUUCAGGGCAGGGUCUAGAGAGGUCUAGACAAGAUGUGUUCUGAUUAUUUUUCCUGGGCCACCUGGGCCUAACUUGACUCCCAGAGAGGGAGUGUAGGGUGUCCUCAGAACUGUGAUUCUGUGCCAGGAUCACCAACCAGUCCAACUCAGGGUCUGACCUCAUUCCUUACUUGAGUACAGCACUGGUUUUGGGACUUGAGUCUGGCAUCCAUGUCACCUUGCGAUUGUGCCUUUCACUCUCUUAGGAUCAUGGAAUUUGAACAUGAGGAAAAGAUAGACAUGGAAAAGUUAGAAAACAUAAGUGGCUCCCAGUGCCAGCCUUCUGCAGUACCACUGAGGCAGGAUUUUCCAGACCUCCAGCCCCUGAGGUCAUCCAGAAACCAGGAGAGAACAAUGGACAGAUGGAAAGGGACAAAUCUGAGGAACAGCAGGAAGAGGAAGUGUUGUACCCAGACCUAGGACUCCUCAGCUACCUGUAUGAGCUGUGAUCCCAGCAGGACUUCCUCCACAAAGUGAGCUGUGUCUACAGUCCCAGUGUUGUCCACAGGCUUAGAAUGCCUUCUCAGCCACUUUGAAUUCAGCUUCUUGCUUCAAUGCUGAGCUGUGUGGCUGUCUGUAUGAUAACCUUGCAGCUCUAAGGGCUGAGCUCUGUCCCUAUCUUGGUAUUGCUCUAUCUCUCUGUCAGUAUCUCCCUCCUUCUUUUCUUUCUUUCUUGCUUGUUCGCUUGCUCAUUCUUGCUUUUUCUUUCUCCCUCCCUCGCUUCCUUCCUUCCUUCUCUCUCCUUAC
Molecule: RNA transcript, 2373 nt
Organism: Jaculus jaculus (lesser Egyptian jerboa)
Lineage: Eukaryota; Metazoa; Chordata; Mammalia; Rodentia; Dipodidae
Gene name: NUT family member 2D-like
Exons: 4
Source: RefSeq, a predicted model, not a curated record